This 43-nucleotide non-coding RNA is filed under the name Prorocentrum micans. The record is from RNAcentral. Lineage: Eukaryota; Dinophyceae; Prorocentrales; Prorocentraceae.
UACAGUUUUUUUUUUUUUUUUUUUUUUUUUUUUACGAACUCCA